RNAcentral lists this ribosomal RNA (118 nucleotides) under Periophthalmus magnuspinnatus. Lineage: Eukaryota; Metazoa; Chordata; Actinopteri; Gobiiformes; Gobiidae. The record is from RNAcentral.
AGUUGUGGACAAACCUCCUUGUCUAAGCCUGAUCUCGUCAGAUCUCAGAAGCUAAGCAGGGUGGAGCCUAGUUAGUACUUGGAUGGUAGAUGGUUGGAAAUAUCAGUUGUUGUGUCUU